Molecule: ribosomal RNA, 446 nt
Filed under: uncultured bacterium
Lineage: Bacteria
Description: partial 16S ribosomal RNA
Rfam family: Bacterial small subunit ribosomal RNA
Source: RNAcentral
CCUACGGGAGGCAGCAGUCGAGAAUCAUUCACAAUGGGGGAAACCCUGAUGGUGCGACGCCGCGUGGGGGAAUGAAGGUCUUCGGAUUGUAAACCCCUGUCAUGUGGGAGCAAAUUAAAAAGAUAGUACCACACGAGGAAGAGACGGCUAACUCUGUGCCAGCAGCCGCGGUAAUACAGAGGUCUAAAGCGUUGUUCGGAAUCACUGGGCGUAAAGCGUGCGUAGGCUGUUUCGUAAGUCGUGUGUGAAAGGCGCGGGCUCAACCCGCGGACGGCACAUGAUACUGCGAGACUAGAGUAAUGGAGGGGGAACCGGAAUUCUCGGUGUAGCAGUGAAAUGCGUAGAUAUCGAGAGGAACACUCGUGGCGAAGGCGGGUUCCUGGACAUUAACUGACGCUGAGGCACGAAGGCCAGGGGAGCGAAAGGGAUUAGAUACCCCAGUAGUC